CGCCUCUUGCAUUCUAUGUAUAAGAGGUCCCGCCUGCCCUGUGACUAUAUGUUUAACGGCCGCGGUAUUUUGACCGUGCAAAGGUAGCGCAAUCACUUGUCUUUUAAAUAAAGACCUGUAUGAAUGGCAUGACGAGGGCUUAACUGUCUCCUUCUCCCGGUCAAUGAAAUUGAUCUCCCCGUGCAGAAGCGGGGAUAUUAUUAUAAGACGAGAAGACCCUGUGGAGCUUUAAAUGAUGAGAGAUUUUAUGCAACAAACCUAAAAAGGUAUAAGCGAAUUUAUACUCCCUCUAAUAUUUUUGGUUGGGGCGACCGCGGAGUAAAAAGAAACCUCCGUGAGGAAUGAGGUAUUUAACCUUAAAUCCCAGAACGACAAUUCAAAGAAACAAAAUUUUUGACCUAAAGAUCCGGCAAAGCCGAUCAACGAACCUAGUUACCCCAGGGAUAACAGCGCAAUCCCCUUCAAGAGUCCCUAUCGACAAGGGGGUUUACGACCUCGAUGUUGGAUCAGGAUAUCCUAAUGGUGUAGCCGCUAUUAAGGGUUCGU
RNAcentral lists this ribosomal RNA (546 nucleotides) under Syngnathus leptorhynchus (bay pipefish). Its description in RNAcentral is "partial 16S ribosomal RNA". It matches the Rfam family "Bacterial large subunit ribosomal RNA", at positions 1817 to 2576 of the family's 2925-position model. Lineage: Eukaryota; Metazoa; Chordata; Actinopteri; Syngnathiformes; Syngnathidae. The record is from RNAcentral.